AUGCGUGCGCCCGCCAAGAUUCCUUCCGCCGUCUUCUGGACCGGCCUCCUGCAAGUCCUAAUCUCAUCCCAAAUUCAGCGCUGGCUUCCAUCUGGAGCUCUUUGAUGGGUACAAAUGGUAGCCGACUUUCUUCGAUCAUCUCUCGAACGGGAGUUGGCACACAAUACUGAGACCAGAAUAAAGCAGUGCAUUUACUACCUUGUGAAGAAUGUUCAGGUGUUCAGUGGGCUUGAUCCAGUUAGGUGAAGGUCUGAAGAGAAAAAAAGACCGUCCUCUUCCCAGAACAAGAGAAUCCUCCAACAGAUACCUUUGGACUGGACCUUGCACCAUCAGCUUUCCUGGGUUUCCAGCCUCCUGCCUCACACUCCAGCUUUCGGACUUGUUAGACUUAAUAAUAGUAACACAAGCCAAUCCUUUUAAGGAAGUUUGUCUGGAGAAUCUUGACAAACACAAACAUCUACUGAGAGUUCCUGUCCAAGUUUUGCUCACACCCUAGCAAGAGGCUUCUGGCUUACCAGUCGGGAGUGUGAGGUUCUUUGCUUGUAAGACCUGAUCCACCAGCGGUACACCAGCUCUGGCCCAGGGCAAGACAGGGAAUUUCCCAAUCACUGAGUAGGCUGUAGCCACUCUCUCCAUUAGGCCUGACUUCACCAUGGGGAAGGGGAGACCCUUUCAAGGGUAUUCCUUCCUGGGGUACUCUCAGUCCUAGGACAUCAUAGCUCUCUUUCAUCCCUCUUAAAAGUUAAUAUCAUUAUCAGUUAACAGUUUUUUAUAUUAAAAUUAUCCCUGUUCAAGUUAAUGGUAUGGUUUCUGUAUCCUGACUGGAUAUUAGGAUACAGUAUUUACUGUCUUAUUUCUACUACUUUAUGUUUAAAGUUUUUCAUAAUGUUUAAACUGAAGUUUUGAUCAUUCAUUAAAUAUUUACACAGAACAGGACAAAGGAUGGUUUUCCUUUGUCUAGUUAUUGUAAGGUAGCGUCCAAGAUUUACCACCACGUCAUGAUUACAGAUGGUCACCAACUUACGUUUUAGGAUUUUUUGACUUUAUGAUGGGUUUAUAGGGAUGCAGCCCCAUUUCAAGCUGAGGAGCUCCUUAGGACUUAGGAAUCAUACCUCUUUCACACCAUGGUAAAGUUGGAAAAUUGUUAAGUCAAGCUGUCAUUAAUUAGGAGACUGCUGUGUUGCUAACGUUUUAUGCAUUUUUAACUUAUGAUGGGUUUAUUGGGAAUUAACCACAAUGUAAAUCGAGGACCAUCUGUAUAUUGUAUGAUUUUUGCUAAUGCAUUGAGAGAGAUCUGUGUAAAUUAUCUAUGACUUCAGAAUAUGCAUAUUACCUCCAACUGUGUUAACUCAUGUUUUUUAAGAGAAUAAGGGUAUUUUCACCCUAUGUGGAUGUACUGUAGAAUUUUUCUAAGCUACGAAAGUCUAUAAAUAACAAAUCAACUUAAACUUUUUGGGAAAUAAUUUCUACUAAAGAUUCAUAAUCGGCGUAUUCCUUCAAUGACUGUACAAGUUCAUCCAGUAGAUAAUCUCCUUGCAUAAAAGUUUCAAGAUCAUGCAGCGUCUUGUUUAUUCUGUGAUCUGUGACCCGGUUCUGUGGAAAAUUAUAUGUUCUUAUUUUCUCUGAUCUUCCUUUACUUCCAAUCUGUAUAUAGAGAAAAAGAUGAGAUGCAGUUAGAUUCAGGGCAAUUUAAACCUACAAAUUUAACUUAUUUGGAGACUUAAGUUCUUGAUUUAUAACAUGAAUCAAAAUGUGAGAACCAGGUUUUAAACACUUAGAAUUUCAAAUGACAUGGGAACAUGAUAUAGAAAAAAGAACACGUGCUCUAAAAUCAGAUUAAUAUCUGAAUCCUGCCUCAGCCACUUCAAUGUUCUAUGACCUCGGGCAACUUAGUUUCCCGAUCUGCAAAAUACAGUGUCUACUACACAGUGAUGAUGACUAUAGAGCCUGGCACAUAGUUGCUAUUCCUAUAGUCGCUGAAUACAUAUAAUCUCUGUGAAUUAAUGCAGUCAUCUUCCGUGGUAACAAGGUGGUGAGUUUCCCAUAUUGAGGAAUUCUUAAAAGGCUCUGUAGUUAUAAAAUUAAAUACCG
This 2091-nucleotide non-coding RNA is filed under the name Pan troglodytes (chimpanzee). Lineage: Eukaryota; Metazoa; Chordata; Mammalia; Primates; Hominidae. The record is from RNAcentral.